Molecule: unclassified non-coding RNA, 352 nt
Filed under: Leptinotarsa decemlineata (Colorado potato beetle)
Lineage: Eukaryota; Metazoa; Arthropoda; Insecta; Coleoptera; Chrysomelidae
Description: uncharacterized LOC111508840, transcript variant X1
Source: RNAcentral
GUUAUGUUCGUGUCUAAUUGUUUUUGUUUCAUAUUGAACAAGUUGGAACAGGUAGUUUCUGAUGAAAUCGCUGCAUGGCGAUGUAAAAUAGGAUUAUGGCUCUUCAUCAAAAGUCAUGAUGCGUUCCAAACCAGUUAUUGAUCCUUUUUUGGAAAAGUAUGGAGUUAUGCAGACUGUGAAUGAAAUAACUGCAUACAGGUUGUUUCUUUGAAGAUAUGAAUUUUGUUAUUUAGAUGCGAAUUUAAUUUUUUUCACUUAGACGUUUGUUUACGCGAUUAUCAUCUAUCUGAAUCUAUAUACUGAUUUGUCACAUUUCAGACUCCUGGUGAAUAAAAAUUUUCCUGAAUCUAAA